GGAGGCGGGGGCCUCGUGGACCCCUCUGGCCAGGGGAAGGGAUUUGGGACAAAGGUGCAGGCUCGGGUGGGGGCUGGCACGGUCAUCUGCUGCUUUGCAGCCCGUCCGCUGCGUGCCCCCACCCCUGGGAUGUGCCAGCUUAUUACCCUCACCCUGUCCUCUUCUCCUUUCAAGCCUCCUGCAGGACCCUGGAUCUGAGGCUCCCACACAGACUCCAGAAUGGCCUUUCCUUCCACGUCUGAGUUCCCUUCUGCGUGGGGUCCCAGGUCUUCCUCCACCCCAUGGGCCAGAACCUUUUAUCUGGGAGCCCAGGGCUCUUUUCCCGGCCUUGCCUUGAGGGAGGCGUCUGAGUCCCGGAAGCUCACCUGCCAUCAGAGCUUUUGUCCACUUGCUUCCGAGGCACCACGCCUCGCUCUCCUGAGCGGCCAGUGCCGUGAUGAGUGUCGAGGACCAUGAUCCUCUUCACCUCUGUGUGCCUCUCUAAAAUCAAAGCCAGUCCUCUAACCAACCAACCCGGCCUCUGCUAAACAGACCAUAGCAGAGCCCUCCCACGUUAUCGACGUGUAUUUCAACCCCGGGGUCUUCUGAAGAUGAUGCCUCCGUUCGCUUUAAAGGUCUCGGGGGGACUCCCUCAAGAAAUCAUGAAUCCCGAACCCCUGCCUCAGGCUCUGCUGUUGAGAAACCCACGCUUAAGAGAAUCUGGGUGGCCUGGAGCAGAUCAUCGGACAAUCUGAGCCUCAGCGCCCUCAACCAAUCCCUCGGGAGGUGUUGCAGCUCACCUUGUAUGAAUCACUCUGCAACUUGCUUUUUUUCACUCAGCAACAUGUCUUGGAUGUCUGUCUGCGUCGACACGUCCAGAUCUCCACGAUGCUUUUAAACGGCUGCGCUGGAUUAUAUGCUAUAUAUGACACAUGUCAUAAGCUGUCAAAGUACAGCCUGUCUAGUCAUUGGAUUGGUUCGUCAUGGAUUUUUAAGUCGGCCGUAAUACUUUGUUUUGCUUCCACGAUUUUUAUUCAUACUGUGUCUGUAUCAUACUCUAUUUUUAUUCCUACUGGAUUCAAAGUCUACAAAGUACUCAUCGAGUAGUGCUGCCCUGAAAAUUGAGGCAUCCCAAAGGGGCGCUGCUGUCCCCACCCCCCUGAGAAGUAGAUGAGGUUAGACCUGGGGUCUGGAAGGCACUGGGCCCUUCCCGGAUUCAGGACAAGCGAAAGCGCUCAGACAGGGUCUGGUGACCGGCCCGGGCUCGUACACGGCAGA
Long non-coding RNA from Prionailurus viverrinus (fishing cat), 1257 nucleotides. RefSeq lists it as uncharacterized. NCBI's taxonomy places the organism in Eukaryota, Metazoa, Chordata, Mammalia, Carnivora, Felidae. The record is from RefSeq and is a predicted model, not a curated record. The transcript is spliced from 4 exons.